CCCGCACAAGCAGCGGAGCGUGUGGUUUAAUUCGAUGAUACACGAAGAACCUUACCCAGGCUUGACAUGUUGGUGGUAGGGAUCCGAAAGGUGACCGACCCUUCGGGGAGCCUUCACAGGUGCUGCAUGGCUGUCGUCAGCUCGUGUCGUGAGAUGUUGGGUUAAGUCCCGCAACGAGCGCAACCCUUGCCCUGUUUUGCCAUCAUUAAGUUGGGAACUAUCAGGGGACCGCCAGCGAUAAGUUGGAGGAAGGUGGGGAUGACGUCAAGUCAUCAUGGCCUUUAUGUCCAGGGCUACACACGUGCUACAAUGGACGGUACAAAGCGCUGCGAAGCCGCGAGGUGGAGCUAAUCGCAAAAAACCGUUCUCAGUUCGGAUCGCAGGCUGCAACUCGCCUGCGUGAAGCUGGAAUCGCUAGUAAUGGCAGAUCAGCAUGCUGCCGUGAAUACGUUCCCGGGCCUU
Molecule: ribosomal RNA, 462 nt
Filed under: uncultured Acidobacteriaceae bacterium
Lineage: Bacteria; Pseudomonadati; Acidobacteriota; Terriglobia; Terriglobales; Acidobacteriaceae
Description: bacterial SSU rRNA
Rfam family: Bacterial small subunit ribosomal RNA
Source: RNAcentral